UUGGAUCAGAGAAUUGAGUGACAUUCUCAAGUGCACGUUGACACUCCGAAUGUUUCUGCCGGUAUCACAGAAGUUCAGAAGGUCUCAUGAAUGUCUUUCGAGCCUGGUAUUCUCUAGAGAUGUCUCCCUGCCGGUAUUCUCCUUUGUAGCGGAACAACUCUCAUCAAUAUGUUCGCAUCUCUCCUCAAUCCGUGCAGCCAGCUUUUCUGCCAGCUUCUCUUCGUGUCUCCCAUAAAGUCGACUUCAACAGGACUGGGCAAGACUGAAAGUACCUCGGAGCCUCACCAGUAAGCUGAUGAAAGGCAGUUCUUCCACUCUCUGCCCUUUCAGCUUCUGGAAACUUACCCGUGAACUUAGGUCUUUGGGCAGCAGCAUUAUCUCGAACUUACACAGCUUCCUGAUCAAAAGACCUAAGCCAAUCUCCACAUAGGGCGGCAGCUCCCCCAUCACACUGAUCCACCCACACAAUUCUGCCCACUUAACUUGGAUCCACCAACCACAACAAGCCUCAUGGUACACAUCAAUAUUCCACCUGGAAUCCAACCGGUUUUCUGAGGCUUCAUCCUGUCUUUCGAUAUAACAGACCAUCCUUCGGCAAGUUUCCUGUGCCAAGGGCUGGCAGUAUCUCGAACUUACACAGCUUCCCGAAAAAAAGACCUAAGACAAACUCCACAGAGGGCGGCAGCCCCUCCCUCACACUGAUCCAUCCACAGAAUUCUGCCCAGUUUCCUUGGAUCCACCAGCCACAACAAGCCUCGAGGUACCCAUCAGCUUUCCACCUGGAAUCCAACAGAAUCUCUCAUCUAUUGUAGUCUUCAGUGCCCAAGUUUGAUACUUCUUCCUCACCUCUAUUGGACGCUGAUUCAGAAAAGACACGACCUCCUGGAGAACCUCUGCUGCCACGGAGCUGACAUGGAACUGAGUCCUGAGGAGGCUUUAAAUACUUUUAAAAACAGGAUUAGUGUACUUUAAUUACUCCAUAGAUGAGUAAUGAAUGGGUCACAUUAACAUAGGAUUUUAAUCCUUUUAGAAUUAGUAGAGUAAUAAAGACACAUUACAAAAAAUUGAAAUAUUGCCUAAAAGAGAAGAGAUUUGUAAUUCCCACCCACAGAGGUGACCGUCAUGAAUGAUUUGUUGCUUAUGUCUCAGUCUCUGUGUCUCUCAGUAUGUCUCUUUCGAUCUCUGCCUCUCACACACUCACAAUCAGAUCAAUUUACAUCUAUAUUGAUUUCACACAUAUGUGGUAGUGCAGAUGGGACCCUGGAUGCAGACAGUGGGUCUGCAUACUUCCAUCCUGAGGCCUCCCUUGACAUUGGAUUGAGACCAGGCACCCACUUUUCCAACUGCACAGCAUUCAUUCAUUCACAUCAACCAGAACGAAUGGACCCCAUCCCCUCUCCAUCAACAUUAGUGUUGCCUUAAUUCCGACUGUUUCAACCAGUGCUGUGAUGAACACCCUUGAAAAGGCAUCUUUGAAUAGGUGUGUAAGGAUUUUAGUGGGAUGAACUGUAAGGAUCAGAAUUUCUGGGGAAGAGAUGCAUCUGUGGCCCUUUGAUGCAUCCUGCACCCUGUUCUCCUGAAGAGGAGCACCCCUUCACUCUUCCCUCCAGGGGAUCUGCUGGAGACUCUGCCUGCUUACAUUGUCGCCAGGGCUGGUUGUCACCUGACUAAAGACCCGCCAGUGUGAUGGUGACCAGUGCUGUCUCUGCAGUGUUUCCGUCUGCCUGAGUUCUCAGCUGAGAGGUCAAGCCUCUCUAACACACACUGGCCACCUGCAUUGCCUCUCAUUGGAACUGCCCAUUUCUGUUCUAUUUCUGUUUAGAACACUGGGUUUUGAAAGGUUUUUGGA
Long non-coding RNA from Camelus dromedarius (Arabian camel), 1849 nucleotides. RefSeq lists it as uncharacterized. NCBI's taxonomy places the organism in Eukaryota, Metazoa, Chordata, Mammalia, Artiodactyla, Camelidae. The record is from RefSeq and is a predicted model, not a curated record. The transcript has 4 exons.